RNAcentral lists this long non-coding RNA (299 nucleotides) under Nicotiana benthamiana. RNAcentral's name for it is "long non-coding RNA (NBEN_LNC035148)". Lineage: Eukaryota; Viridiplantae; Streptophyta; Magnoliopsida; Solanales; Solanaceae. The record is from RNAcentral.
GCAACAGUAGCGAACCCGGGUGCAGAAGCAUAUUUGGAACGAAAUCCAAAAAUAGCAAAGAAUAGCAGUAGCUUCCUAAAUGAUGCUUCUUUAUCGACAUUUGGAAUCCAGAACUCUUUUUGGCUUUGUUUUAUGGGAAAUCUCUGUGUGGGUGACGUGAAAAGAACGAAAAAAAGAGGGUGAUUCAUCUGAUGUUUUGAGAAGAAAAGGAUGUUGCGCUAAUUUUGCUCUCUCUUACGCCGCUGCUGCAUUACUUUUAGCGGAGAGGGUGUAAUCGUUUAGAAGAUGAAGGAGCUAAG